This 423-nucleotide ribosomal RNA is filed under the name uncultured bacterium. RNAcentral's name for it is "bacterial SSU rRNA". It matches the Rfam family "Bacterial small subunit ribosomal RNA", at positions 355 to 775 of the family's 1533-position model. The record is from RNAcentral.
UAAGGAAUAUUGGACAAUGGGGGCAACCCUGAUCCAGCCAUGCCGCGUGAAGGAUGAAGGCCCUAUGGGUCGUAAACUUCUUUUACAGGGGACAAAUAUCUUGCUCGUGAGCAGGAUUGAUGGUACUCUGAGAAUAAGGGUCGGCUAACUUCGUGCCAGCAGCCGCGGUAAUACGAAGGACCCGAGCGUUAUCCGGAUUUAUUGGGUUUAAAGGGUGCGUAGGCGGACACGCAAGUCAGUGGUGAAAUCCCUCAGCUUAACUGAGGAACUGCCAUUGAAACUAUGUGUCUUGAGUACAUUUGAGGCGGGCGGAAUGUGUCAUGUAGAGGUGAAAUUCUUAGAUAUGACACAGAACACCAAUUGCGAAGGCAGCUCGCUAAACUGUAACUGACGCUGAGGCACGAAAGCGUGGGGAUCAAACAG